UGCAGUCGAGCGAUGGAUUAAGAGCUUGCUCUUAUGAAGUUAGCGGCGGACGGGUGAGUAACACGUGGGUAACCUGCCCAUAAGACUGGGAUAACUCCGGGAAACCGGGGCUAAUACCGGAUAACAUUUUGAACCGCAUGGUUCGAAAUUGAAAGGCGGCUUCGGCUGUCACUUAUGGAUGGACCCGCGUCGCAUUAGCUAGUUGGUGAGGUAACGGCUCACCAAGGCAACGAUGCGUAGCCGACCUGAGAGGGUGAUCGGCCACACUGGGACUGAGACACGGCCCAGACUCCUACGGGAGG
This 302-nucleotide ribosomal RNA is filed under the name Bacillus thuringiensis. Its description in RNAcentral is "bacterial SSU rRNA". It matches the Rfam family "Bacterial small subunit ribosomal RNA", at positions 60 to 348 of the family's 1533-position model. Lineage: Bacteria; Bacillati; Bacillota; Bacilli; Caryophanales; Bacillaceae. The record is from RNAcentral.